Oryzias latipes (Japanese medaka) is the source of this 2099-nucleotide RNA transcript. It is a transcript of the gene named cytochrome P450, family 7, subfamily A, polypeptide 1, with no coding region annotated. Lineage: Eukaryota; Metazoa; Chordata; Actinopteri; Beloniformes; Adrianichthyidae. The record is from RefSeq and is a predicted model, not a curated record.
UGCCUGUUGCCACACACCUCCAGCUGCCUGCCGACUGACACCCACACUGACUAACACACACUGACAGACAGCAGCACUCAUCGCCUGCACUACAGACAUAGGCUGUUGGCAGCAAACAUUCCAGCUUCCUUCAUUGUAUGCAAGAGCUCUGACAAGUCUGCCAUCAUUUCUUCUGGAUCCUCCUCUCUCCAUCCCAGUGAUGAUUAGCAUUGCUCUGAUAUGGGGGGUGGUGGUGGCCUUGUGCAGCAUCCUGUGGCUUGCUUUGGGGAUAAGACGCAGGCAGCUCGGAGAGCCUCCCGUGGAAAAUGGAUUCAUCCCCUACCUUGGCUGCGCUCUACAGUUCGGAGCCAACCCCCUCCAGUUCCUCCGUAGUCGCCAGAAGAAGCACGGUCACAUUUUCACCUGCAAGAUUGCAGGCCAAUACAUCCACUUCCUGUGUGAUCCCUUCUCCUACCAUUCAGUCAUCAGGCAGGGCAGACACCUGGACUGGAUGAAGUUCCACUUUGCAACUUCUGCAAAGGCGUUUGGCCACGACAGCUUUGACCCACGCCACGGGCACACCACGGAAAACCUCCAUCACACCUUUCUAAAGACCCUGCAGGGUGGAGCCCUGCCCUCCCUCAUAGAAACCAUGAUGGGUCACCUUCAAGAUGUCCUGCUAAAGUCUGACACCCUCAGCCACAGCAAGGACCAAUGGCAGGUGGAUGGCAUCUUUGCCUUCUGCUACAAGGUGAUGUUCGAGUCUGGUUACCUGACCCUGUUUGGUAAAGAGCUCGGUGAAGACAAGAGCCAGGCUCGUCAGUCAGCGCAGAAAGCGCUGGUGCUCAAUGCUUUGGAGAACUUUAAGGAGUUUGACAAGAUCUUUCCCGCUCUGGUGGCUGGUCUGCCCAUCCAUGUCUUUAAAAGCGCCUACAGUGCCAGAGAGAACCUCGCAAAAACCAUGUAUGCUGAAAACCUGUCAAAGAGGCAGAACAUGUCAGAUCUCAUCUCCAUGAGGAUGAUUCUGAACGACUCCCUAUCCACUUUUAACGAUGUCAGUAAAGCCAGGACCCAUGUGGCUCUGCUGUGGGCGUCUCAGGCUAACACCUUGCCCGCCACGUUCUGGAGCCUCUUCUACAUGAUAAGGAGUCCGGAUGCUAUGAAAGCAGCUCAGCAGGAAGUACAGAAAGUCCUAGAGGAGUCAGGUUUAACCACUAACCUGAGGGACUCCACCCUGAACCUGACCCGGGACCAGCUGGACAAAUUGCCUAUCAUGGACAGCAUCAUCAAAGAAGCUAUGCGGCUUUCCAGCGCCUCCCUGAACGUGCGCAUCGCUAAGGAGAACUUCUUGCUCCAGCUCGACAACCAGGAGGCCUACCACAUCAGAAAAGAUGAUGUGAUCGCCCUGUACCCACCCCUACUCCACUAUGAUCCAGAAAUCUAUGAAGAUCCAUAUGUAAGCCCCUCACCAUGCUUUCCUCUAGUUAUCAGGUUGCCAAGUUGUACAAUAAAAGUGCACAUCCACCUUGACUCUCCCUGCAUCAAGUUACACAGAAACCUCAAUGGUGGAUCAUUGUCGUUGUUUUGAGCACGUUCACAUUGAUUAACGCCAUUUCAGAACCUAAAAGGAGAAAAUUGGUGACUAUGCUGAAUUUAAUAUUUGAUGGGUGGGAUGUGAAACUAACCUCCUUUUGAUGACAACACAGAUCUCACACCGCCCUAAGCUACAUGCGUUCAAGUGGCCACUAUCAAUGAAGAGUCUGUGUAAAGGCGCGGACAUUUCGGGCUUUUGUGUUUGAAACGCUUGUGUUCAUGUGUAACUGUGCACGUUUUUUAAUUGUAAAAGACAAAGCCUGGAGCAAGAUUCAUGAGAUUUGCACCGCUUCAACAUUUCGCACCAAGCCUCUUCCAACUGUAGGUAGUGGACAUGCAUUGGUAAACGAUAAAAAUAAAGAAGAAGCCCUCCCCAAUUGUCCAGUGUGAACACCAUGGGCCGCAUGUGGGAGUACAAGUUUGACCGUUUCUUGGACAACAAGGGUCAAGAGAAGAACAUUUUCUAUCGCAACGGACGGCGGCUACGCUACUUCUACAUGCCCUUUGGCUCUGGAGUGACAAAGUGU